UAUAUUCAUCUCGUGUUGGAGGCCACUGGCUCAGACAACGGGAGAGCUUUGAAGGGCCUUGCUCCUGGCAGAGGCACAGUCAAGGUGGCACACCAGGAAAGCUCUUCAGGGUUGGAAUAUUCGUCGCACUGUUCCAUCCACUGAACAAAUUGCACAGGGAUCUGUAGACCUGCAACAUUUCAAGUAAAGGAAAAUCACGUCUCAUUCUGUCAAAGCUUUUCCUUGAUCCAGCCUGAAAAGGUCCUUCAGUAAAGAAUAGCACCUAAAGAAAUGCUUCCAGUUCACACCCUUCUAACUUUUGAGUAAACCUUGAGUGUAGGCCAAAGGGUAUCAAAAUGGCUCCAAAUGCACAGAUUCAGCAGCUCUCCUCUGUCUGGACACAGUCAAAGCAUUCAAUAAAAGGAAAAAGUGGAAGAAAGAUUGUUUUGUUUCUUUCUUCUGAAAUGGUGACAAGCUGAAAACGAUCUAAUUGUCCAAAAUAAAACUGGCAGAGUCAAUUAUGGUAAGGCAAC
This is a non-coding RNA of Sus scrofa (pig), 512 nucleotides long. The record is from RefSeq and is a predicted model, not a curated record. NCBI's taxonomy places the organism in Eukaryota, Metazoa, Chordata, Mammalia, Artiodactyla, Suidae.